AUGGAGAGUUUGAUUCUGGCUCAGAACGAACGCUGGCGGCGUGGAUAAGACAUGCAAGUCGAACGAGAGAAUUGCUAGCUUGCUAAUAAUUCUCUAGUGGCGCACGGGUGAGUAACACGUGAGUAACCUGCCCCCGAGAGCGGGAUAGCCCUGGGAAACUGGGAUUAAUACCGCAUAGUAUCGAAAGAUUAAAGCAGCAAUGCGCUUGGGGAUGGGCUCGCGGCCUAUUAGUUAGUUGGUGAGGUAACGGCUCACCAAGGCGAUGACGGGUAGCCGGUCUGAGAGGAUGUCCGGCCACACUGGAACUGAGACACGGUCCAGACACCUACGGGUGGCAGCAGUCGAGAAUCAUUCACAAUGGGGGAAACCCUGAUGGUGUGACGCCGCGUGGGGGAAUGAAGGUCUUCGGAUUGUAAACCCCUGUCAUGUGGGAGCAAAUUAAAAAGAUAGUACCACAAGAGGAAGAGACGGCUAACUCUGUGCCAGCAGCCGCGGUAAUACAGAGGUCUCAAGCGUUGUUCGGAAUCACUGGGCGUAAAGCGUGCGUAGGCUGUUUCGUAAGUCGUGUGUGAAAGGCGCGGGCUCAACCCGCGGACGGCACAUGAUACUGCGAGACUAGAGUAAUGGAGGGGGAACCGGAAUUCUCGGUGUAGCAGUGAAAUGCGUAGAUAUCGAGAGGAACACUCGUGGCGAAGGCGGGUUCCUGGACAUUAACUGACGCUGAGGCACGAAGGCCAGGGGAGCGAAAGGGAUUAGAUACCCCUGUAGUCCUGGCAGUAAACGGUGCACGCUUGGUGUGCGGGGAAUCGACCCCCUGCGUGCCGGAGCUAACGCGUUAAGCGUGCCGCCUGGGGAGUACGGUCGCAAGAUUAAAACUCAAAGAAAUUGACGGGGACCCGCACAAGCGGUGGAGUAUGUGGCUUAAUUCGAUGCAACGCGAAGAACCUUACCUGGGCUUGACAUGUAAUGAACAACAUGUGAAAGCAUGCGACUCUUCGGAGGCGUUACACAGGUGCUGCAUGGCCGUCGUCAGCUCGUGUCGUGAGAUGUUUGGUUAAGUCCAGCAACGAGCGCAACCCCUGUUGCCAGUUACCAGCACGUGAAGGUGGGGACUCUGGCGAGACUGCCCAGAUCAACUGGGAGGAAGGUGGGGACGACGUCAGGUCAGUAUGGCCCUUAUGCCCAGGGCUGCACACGUACUACAAUGCCCAGUACAGAGGGGGCCGAAGCCGCGAGGCGGAGGAAAUCCUAAAAACUGGGCCCAGUUCGGACUGUAGGCUGCAACCCGCCUACACGAAGCCGGAAUCGCUAGUAAUGGCGCAUCAGCUACGGCGCCGUGAAUACGUUCCCGGGUCUUGUACACACCGCCCGUCACAUCAUGGAAGCCGGUCGCACCCGAAGUAUCUGAAGCCAACCGCAAGGAGGCAGGGUCCUAAGGUGAGACUGGUAACUGGGAUGAAGUCGUAACAAGGUAGCCGUAGGGGAACCUGCGGCUGGAUCACCUCCUUU
RNAcentral lists this ribosomal RNA (1509 nucleotides) under Akkermansia muciniphila. RNAcentral describes it as "bacterial SSU rRNA". It matches the Rfam family "Bacterial small subunit ribosomal RNA". Lineage: Bacteria; Pseudomonadati; Verrucomicrobiota; Verrucomicrobiia; Verrucomicrobiales; Akkermansiaceae. The record is from RNAcentral.